UAGGGAAUCUUGGACAAUGGGCGAAAGCCUGAUCCAGCCAUGCCGCGUGAGUGAUGAAGGCCUUAGGGUUGUAAAGCUCUUUCGCCAGGGAAGAUAAUGACGGUACCUGGAUAAGAAGCCCCGGCUAACUUCGUGCCAGCAGCCGCGGUAAUACGAAGGGGGCUAGCGUUGUUCGGAAUUACUGGGCGUAAAGCGCACGUAGGCGGCUUUCCAAGUUGGAGGUGAAAUCCCCGGGCUUAACCCGGGAACUGCCUCCAAAACUGAAAGGCUAGAGUCCGAGAGAGGUGAGUGGAAUUUCCAGUGUCGAGGUGAAAUUCGUAGAUAUUGGAAAGAACACCAGUGGCGAAGGCGGCUCACUGGCUCGGUACUGACGCUGAGGUGCGACAGCGUGGGGAGCAAACA
RNAcentral lists this ribosomal RNA (402 nucleotides) under uncultured bacterium. RNAcentral describes it as "bacterial SSU rRNA". It matches the Rfam family "Bacterial small subunit ribosomal RNA", at positions 355 to 774 of the family's 1533-position model. The record is from RNAcentral.